Long non-coding RNA from Myotis brandtii (Brandt's bat), 684 nucleotides. RefSeq lists it as uncharacterized. NCBI's taxonomy places the organism in Eukaryota, Metazoa, Chordata, Mammalia, Chiroptera, Vespertilionidae. The record is from RefSeq and is a predicted model, not a curated record. The transcript has 3 exons.
AGGCCUCCAGGCAUUUUUCCUGACCAGCCUCCAUGGUUGCUGGGAAGGGACAGACGACCAGCCUCAGAAAAGACUCCCCCAAAGAAAGAGAGGGACCUCUCCAUGGCAGAGGGCCCAGGGCCAGUCUCUGAACUUCCGGGGGCCGAAGGGCCAUGAGGAAGGAGACCCUGUAGCUGCCCUGAGGCUCCUGAGUGACCCUGGAGGGGCCCCGGCCACCGGCAAGCAGGUGGGUGUCGCACCUUCUUGGGGGCCGGGGGCCAGGCACCCGGUUGAACUAGACCGAGGUCCAGACUCCUGUUCCGACGCUGGGGGCUGUGAUGGGCAACCUGCUGGCCUGCUCAGGGCCCAGCUCCCUUCUGUGCAGGGGCCAUGGCCAUCCCCGGACAGAGGCAGAGCCGGAGGGCCCUGGUGGCCAAGGCAGACUCUGCAAAUCAGCACUGAGGACGCCAGUGACCCUGGGGUUUUGUUUGUGUUGGGCGUCAGUGCACCCUGUGUGCCCUGGAGAGCACCUGUCCCAGAACUUAUUCGUGGUUUCUGACGUUCAAGUUCGUGGGCGUCCUGUAUUUGAGCUGCGCCUGUGCCAUCGUGUGCGUGCGGAUGCAGGAGCAGAGGAAGGGCCAGGAAAGUGCCUGCUGGGUGUGGGCUCUCGGGGGCUCUUCCUGCCAGCGCCUCACCUGCCUGCCC